This 460-nucleotide ribosomal RNA is filed under the name uncultured bacterium. RNAcentral describes it as "partial 16S ribosomal RNA". It matches the Rfam family "Bacterial small subunit ribosomal RNA", at positions 338 to 795 of the family's 1533-position model. The record is from RNAcentral.
CCUACGGGAGGCAGCAGUGGGGGAUAUUGCACAAUGGGGGGAACCCUGAUGCAGCGACGCCGCGUGGGGGAUGAAGGUUCUAUGGAUCGUAAACCUCUUUUAUAAGGGAAUAAAGUGUGGGACGUGUCCUGUUUUGUAUGUACCUUAUGAAUAAGGAUCGGCUAACUCCGUGCCAGCAGCCGCGGUAAUACGGAGGAUCCGAGCGUUAUCCGGAUUUAUUGGGUUUAAAGGGUGCGUAGGCGGCCUUUUAAGUCAGCGGUGAAAGUUUGUGGCUCAACCAUAGAAUUGCCGUUGAAACUGGGAGUCUUGAGUAUGUUUGAGGCAGGCGGAAUGCGUGGUGUAGCGGUGAAAUGCUUAGAUAUCACGCAGAACCCCGAUUGCGAAGGCAGCCUACCAAGCCAUGACUGACGCUGAUGCACGAAAGCGUGGGGAUCAAACAGGAUUAGAUACCCGAGUAGUC